Poecilia latipinna (sailfin molly) is the source of this 2139-nucleotide long non-coding RNA. RefSeq lists it as uncharacterized. The transcript has 2 exons. NCBI's taxonomy places the organism in Eukaryota, Metazoa, Chordata, Actinopteri, Cyprinodontiformes, Poeciliidae. The record is from RefSeq and is a predicted model, not a curated record.
AAGUAUUUGUAGUCUGGUGCUCUUAGAAACAACAAAGCUUUUUGAUUUUUUGCUAAAAGCUAAUUCGAUUACCCGACUAUAAAGGAAACAUUCGGAUCUGGCAAUUUAAGGGAACACGGUUAUUCACUCUGUAAAUGCCAAGCGAAUUCAACUGAGGUGUGCAGUUUCUGCAGCUUUGCGUUGAUCAGCAACACAAACGUUGGUAAGCCACUUUAAAGUACUUCCAUGCAUCUUCUACAGGCGCCACAGAACCUGUAAUUAAAAAUAAUGGCUGAAACCAUCAAGCACAAACAAACGGCAAAAGGUCAGUGCAGCAGGCGACGCUGUCAUGACGUAUAAAGGCUCCAAUCAGGCAGAGACGCUCGGCCAUGAAUUAUAAAACGAGCCAAGUCAUCUGAGUUAUGUCACUUCAUACCGUCAGCAGCUCUCCUUCCUGCUCACACACUCCAUCAUAGCUGACUGGAGCCAUUUUCUCACACUGCCUGCCCUUCCACUUUGCAUAGUGUUGGUGUGUCUUUAACAGCGCCGAUCUCUGUCUUCCUUUAUCUGCAAGCGUCACUUGUAGAUGUAAAUAAUAGAUUUUGCCUGGACAUUUUCCAUGUUUUUGAAAUGCUACCUUGGAUUCAAACACCGGGGUAUCUGCGUUGUUUUGGGUUGAAGUAGAUGGCAUCAUUUUUGACUGGAAGUGAACGAGGCUUCUGGGGCUUUUGGAGCAAUGCAAGUGUAAAAUAAGCAAACUAUAUUUGUUUUUUGAGGCUUAGCUGCUUUAGUGUCAUGGAAGUUAUGCUACAGCUAAAGUAUGGUUGAAAGUGUAACUUUAGAAACAUGCACGUACUAUUCCUUUUAUCCUUUAUUUUAUUUCCUCUAAAGUCGAUGUUUUGGUUACAAUGUCUGUUUUUCGUUGAACACUCAAAUUCCAAAAUCUAAUUCCUUGGUUACACACACAAUCCUGGCCAAUAAAACCCGAUUCUGAUUUCAAUAUUAGUAUAACUGCACCCAUCCUCAUCCUCACUUCUACCUUCACUCUGUUGCCUGGCUCACAUUUAUAUUUAUCUCUCCUCCAGUUUCCACAUUUCUCCCCCCUCCCCCGUUCCAUCUUCAGAGCAUUUUUCAUUCUCUGACCAUCUUUAUAUAGCUUAAUGCAUUCAUCUGCAAUGUUCUGUUACCUUUUAAAUCUCAUGGCAAAUCUCUCUCCAUUGUGUGUGUGUGUAUUAUUGUAACAUUUCAUUAUUUUGUGCUGUUACCUCAUUAGAGCAAACAGCUGCAAAUUCGUGUGCGCAAAGUGAUAUUUCCAAUUGAUUUGGUUUAUUCGGGGGGGAAAAAAAAUGCAAUUUAUUCCAGCUGAGUUAUAAGUAGGUCGUCCACCACACUUUUCUCUCUUGCCUUGCAGAGGUGCUAGAUUGUUCUCGCCUCUUGCUGCUCGCCGAUACUGUUCAAAGGUCGCAAUCUCGUAGGGUUUGACAGACGAUGAUGAACUGCGGCUUGUUUCUACAGGCCGCUAGCCAAGCGAGGUGUGUGUCCAUGACUACGUCCGCCUACAGCGCUCUGCUCUUUAAGUGAUAUGGUCUGUGCACAAGAGAUUUGGAAGAAUCCCGCCUGACAGUGUGUUUACACAGGGCUCUCAUCCAGGCCCACGGCCGAGCGACGCAGUUUGAAACUGAUGUGGCCAAAUAAGCUGCGGCGCAGGAAAACCUCGGCUGCUAGAAAGAAUUUCUCUCUAAUCGCGUCCCGCCGCACGAGGAGAGGAGGAAGGAGUUCUUACGGUGGAAAGGAGACGUCACUUAUUACAGCGGUCCCGUCAGGCCGUCUGUCGGGCACACGCUGAAACACAGACCCGGAGUCAGGCUGGCAGGUCCUCCAGCCGCACGAAAGCUUCGAGCUCUGAGCCGAAACCUCGCUUUGGAGUUCGUCGCGGACUUUCAAGCAUCGCCUGAGCCAGCCUUUCGAUUCCUGGCCCGGAAAGAUCUCCUGUCCAUCCACGUGAAGCACAUUUGAAUUUCAGGUACCGUUUUGAACACAGUCGGUUUCUGGGUUGAUGAUCGAACAAGUCAUCCCGUCUCUGACAGUCUGUGAUAAACACAUCAAUUAAAUAAUCGGCGAUUUGGUGAGUCACUUAUUCAUCAUCUAUAAGUUACAGGG